GACGAACGCUGGCGGCGUGCUUAACACAUGCAAGUCGAGCGAACAAAGCUCCUUCGGGAGUGGAGUUAGCGGCGGACGGGUGAGUAACACGUGGGUAACCUGCCUUAUAGAGGGGGAUAGCCUUCCGAAAGGAGGAUUAAUACCGCAUAAGAAGUAGAAGUCGCAUGGCUUUAGCUUUAAAGGAGCAAUCCGCUAUAAGAUGGACCCGCGGCGCAUUAGCUAGUUGGUGGGGUAACGGCUCACCAAGGCGACGAUGCGUAGCCGACCUGAGAGGGUGAUCGGCCACAUUGGAACUGAGACACGGUCCAGACUCCUACGGGAGGCAGCAGUGGGGAAUAUUGCACAAUGGGCGCAAGCCUGAUGCAGCGACGCCGCGUGAGCGAAGAAGUAUUUCGGUAUGUAAAGCUCUAUCAGCAGGGAAGAAAAUGACGGUACCUGACUAAGAAGCUCCGGCUAAAUACGUG
Molecule: ribosomal RNA, 464 nt
Filed under: uncultured bacterium
Lineage: Bacteria
Description: bacterial SSU rRNA
Rfam family: Bacterial small subunit ribosomal RNA
Source: RNAcentral